GUUGUCUCUUCCACAUAUUACUCGCAGUCAGCGACAGAGGGCUUUCCCACGCCAGGCCUGCAGAUCCCAGUCGGAAGCUUUAUCUAUCCUGCCCCUUGGGGGACUGCGGCUGGCUUUCCCCCAUGAGACCUAUUCUGUAUUGAACAGGAAAGCACAAACAAUCACAAUGCCCAGCAAAGAUAAAGUGUUUUCCAUGCUCUCUGUUACGACAGUGAUCCCCAUAGAGACGUAAUCUUCAGUUUACGGAGACUUUUUUCUGAGUCCCAAAUUGCAGGAAUCUGUGGGGUUUUCCCCCUAACCUUGCCCUUCCACCCUUCGUGGAUCCUCCUGGAAUGGUCCACAGGCAUCUAUAUCUGCUGUCCCCCAACCCCACCAGCAAGGGGCGCGCGAGAUGAAACAGUUCUGUCCUGGGAUGUACCACCGAGGGGUAGCGGAAAGACCACCCACUCUGGAAGGUACCAUUGGGAGAGGGCGUGUGACAACAGAGAGGGUCCCCUUACACCGCGUCGGGCAUGGACCGCAGUUCCCAGCAGCGGCACUCAUGGCGCCACUAGGUCCAUCCCCACUCGCUCCUCUUCGUCUUCCCACUGCUUUUGAAUCCGAGUGGACACAGUGGGCAAGUGGCGUCAACAUUGGGACCUAUAGAUCAAGAUUCCCCAAGCUGGAUGAACCUGUGGUUGACCAGCAGCCCAGUGUUGAGCAACCUCAACAAGAGGAACGGCCACCUGAGAUUCAGGAUAUCACACCUGAAAAGGAGGAAGUAAAUGGAGAGGAUCCGGUGAAUCAUAAUGAAGAGAAGGAGAAGGAUGCCUCUGGAGCUGAAUCGAUGCAUUUUUUGGUAAAGAUUCUCACCUGGAAACUGAUCUCCAGGAAUUGGCUGAAGCAAAGACUGGGGGUAAAGGUGGAGAUGGUCCUGAUGUCAGGGAGGAAUUUGCAUCAAAUACAGAGCCUGUUGAAAUGCCAGAAGCAGCACGUGGCAGUCAUCUGCUUGUAAGUGACAGUUCUCAUCAUCCCUAAUGAAUCCAGCCGCAGUAGGAGGAGAUAUAGCAUCUGGUCCCUGCUUAGAACUACUUCCUGAAUGAAUGAAGGACCGGGACUCAAGGUAAAUUCUCAGUCAAUAAAGCGUAGCUCUUAGUGGACCA
This 1142-nucleotide long non-coding RNA is filed under the name Bos indicus x Bos taurus (hybrid cattle). RNAcentral describes it as "lncRNA (ENSBIXG00005005958.1)". The record is from RNAcentral. Lineage: Eukaryota; Metazoa; Chordata; Mammalia; Artiodactyla; Bovidae.